AGGGGAGGACAACUAUGUACUAGUAUUCUCGUCUGACGGUAGGUAAUCAUCAAGCACGACUGACUACGUAGCUGCAGCAGCUGUAAUAGGUAGUAGCUAGCUUCAUCAUGAAGUAUUGGGUAGUCAGAGCAGGGGGUGGUUGCUUUAUUUAUGUCUUAUGAUGAUAGACCGACCGCUUCAUCAGUCGGCGGGUCGUCGUCAUAUAGACGAAAUGGUGUGCCAGAUGAGGAGGGGAAGACUUCCUUGAGUAGCGGUGAAAUGCUCAGAGACGUGGAGGAACCACCAGUAGGUGACGACGUCUUUUUUGCUCUGCAACAGCCGAUGAUGUUCGAAAGCAGGGUGAUCAAACACCAUGAGAUACCAUGGUAGUCCACGCCGUAGAGCAUGAGUACUAAUAGUUAGGGAGGUUUCCUCUCCUUAGUGGUGCAGCUAAUGCAUCAUGCACUACGCCUGGGGAGUAGGACGGCAAGGUGGAAACUCAAAGGAAUAAACGACGACCCGCACAAGCGGUGGAGCAUCUGGUUUAAUUAGAAGCAACGAGAAGAACCUCACCAACUCUUGACAUCCUCUUACCCCUCUAGAGAUAGAGUUUUCCCCCCCGGGGGACAGAAUAACAGCUGGUGCAUGGUGGUCGUCAGCUCGUGUCGUGAGAUGUUGGGUGAAGUCCUGCAACAAGCACAACCCUUAAGAUUAGUAGCCAUCAUCAAGUUGGGCACUAUAAGUUGACGGCCGGCGACAAACCGGAGGAAGGUGGGGAGGACGUCAAAUCAUCAUGCCCCUCAUGAUUUGGGGUACACACCUGGUACAAUGGACAAUACAAAGGGUAGCAAAACCGCGAGGUCAAGCAAAUCCUACAAAGUUGUUGUCAGCUCGGAUGGUAGUAUUCAACUAGUCGAUAUGAAGCAGGAAUCGUUGGUAAUCGUAGAUCAGCAUGCUACGGUGAAUACGUUCCCGGGUGUUGUACACACCGCCCGUCACAACACCAGAGUUUGUAACACCAGAAGCCGGCGGAGGAACCA
RNAcentral lists this ribosomal RNA (1019 nucleotides) under Staphylococcus epidermidis. Its description in RNAcentral is "bacterial SSU rRNA". It matches the Rfam family "Bacterial small subunit ribosomal RNA", at positions 441 to 1441 of the family's 1533-position model. Lineage: Bacteria; Bacillati; Bacillota; Bacilli; Caryophanales; Staphylococcaceae. The record is from RNAcentral.